This 286-nucleotide unclassified non-coding RNA is filed under the name Hevea brasiliensis (rubber tree). Lineage: Eukaryota; Viridiplantae; Streptophyta; Magnoliopsida; Malpighiales; Euphorbiaceae. The record is from RNAcentral.
GGUCUUCUUAGAAAAGUAACUUCAGUUCUUCUAGAGAGUUUGAAUUGCCAAUGAUAUUAGGCUCUGAUACCAAUUUGUAAUAUUCUCGUGCCCAGGAUCUCGUCACAUCCUAUUAACAGUGAAAUCUACUUCAAAAGAUAAAGCUUUUGUUUUAUUUCGAUUUUUUCCUUGACCUCUUAUUGCUGAAAAAGUGAGCUCGUUAAAAGGGAGCUGUAACCUUAGACUCAUUGAAGAAGAGAAAGUCCAGGUUUUAAUUUAAUUAAAAAUAGUUCUACUUAAUUUUAUU